RNAcentral lists this long non-coding RNA (215 nucleotides) under Cavia porcellus (domestic guinea pig). RNAcentral describes it as "lncRNA (ENSCPOG00000034629.1)". The record is from RNAcentral. Lineage: Eukaryota; Metazoa; Chordata; Mammalia; Rodentia; Caviidae.
AUAUGGACUGGCCCAAAGUCAAGAGGUAGAGAAGCACGUUCAGCUACCCAUGCCAUCAUGGCAAGGGCACAGAUGCAGGAAACAUUUCCAUUCCCUCAUCUGCAGAUGACCUGGAUGUCUGUUUCCUGAGACGGAUAUCAGUAAGAAUUGGGAUAGUAGAGUUUCAUAGAGGCUGAAUGCCCUGAAUUGAAAGUCCGGAGAGCACUUCAAACCAG